AUACGCUGGCACCCUGAAUCGCUUCAGCCACGUAGACAAUUACUUUCCUUAUACGCAAAAUAAAGAAACAGAAUAACUGGUGCGUGGCAGGCUGAAGAACAAAAUCAGCGACGUGCUAAGCCAAAACCGAGAUACCCAAAUGAGAACUCGUAAAGCAAGGGAUCAGUAUGCACAUGGAAUAGUCUGAUCGUGAAGAAAACGUCUGGACCAAGUUCGAAGAAAACGUAUGGAUCGGCCGGCGUUAAGUUAACGAAGCAUCUGGAUGGCAACUUGUCCGAAUGCUCCAUGUUACCGACAAUGGAGACGGGAUCAAAGAAACAUUGGAGAAUGUACCGCGUCCGCCACCUCUUCUGUUAUCACGGAAGCAGUGACUAUUUACUGACUAAGGGAUGUGGUAACAUAAGCGUAACCAAGGAAUACGGCGCACGCCCACCGAAUGUCAUCUCUGCACUAAUUCAUAGAUCUCGAAUAUCGAUCACAUUUACUGAUCAAUUAUGAAUAUCAAACAGACUUGCUGAUUAAUAUUGUAAAUACAAUGUAACAAAAUAACUGUUGUGACGGUUUACUAAGCUGCUUAUUCGUAUUACUGAAUAGAACCACACGAGAUCGAUUUCUUAAAAAUUGAAUUAUUUUACGAAGCUAUGCAGAUUUGUUUGAAUCAGCUGGCUGACAACAUUAAUUCGCCAGCCAAACAAUGGCGACAAAAUCUCAUGUCACUAUAUCACCGCCUUGGGCAAUAUCAUCAACACAACUUCAAUGCCUGCCAAGGCACUGGACACCAAGUUUCCGCGUUCAGAUGGCAUUUGCCCACAAUUUCCCCGGUGGAGUGCACGGAAACUCGUCCAGUGAAGGAGGCGCUCCGCACCCACAAGGCAUGCAUCCCACCUGGACGAGGCCAACGCGUCCACCCUGGACCGGCUCGACACGGCCGCCAUGGACGAGAUCCACACCUGCGGCGCUGCCCAUCACCUGCUCCGACACCGGCUCGGGCUGCAGCGCUCCCGGACAGUCCUGCGCCGUGUCCGGCAACUUCCACGUCUCGCUGUCAUCCAUCCUUCCAAGUCUCGCUGUCAUUUAUCUGCGGCUAUUACUUUUGCGGCGGAUUUGGCCAUUACAUAGUAAUUGCAUCUUGCGAAUAUCCCGUGAGUUUUAUUGCCAUGCAAACAAUGUGCUCGCAGAUGCAGCCACCCAGUGACCAUUCAGCUUACUGGAAUACGCUUUCAUUCGUGUUAUUUAAUGACUUAGUUGUUACCACCAGACCUGUGCCGAAUGUACCGUGAUAAAACAAUAGGAGUGAAAAAUACAAUCGAUGUGAAAAUGCAAAGGUUGUCAACUAAAUUUACACGCACUGUGACCAUUAGUAAUUCUAACACAGCAGCUUGUUCGAAACUUCAUAUAAGUAUACAAACAAGCAAAUCAAAGCAAGAAUAUUUCCGCAAUACUAUCUUGCUCCGGAAUCGUGCCCAUUACUCAUACACCAUUCCCCGUUGU
Molecule: long non-coding RNA, 1491 nt
Organism: Paramacrobiotus metropolitanus
Lineage: Eukaryota; Metazoa; Tardigrada; Eutardigrada; Parachela; Macrobiotidae
Exons: 3
Source: RefSeq, a predicted model, not a curated record